This 356-nucleotide unclassified non-coding RNA is filed under the name fungal sp. RNAcentral describes it as "partial internal transcribed spacer region". The stretch from base 1 to 46 matches the Rfam family "Eukaryotic small subunit ribosomal RNA", at positions 1786 to 1831 of the family's 1831-position model. Lineage: Eukaryota; Fungi. The record is from RNAcentral.
AAGUCGUAACAAGGUUUCCGUAGGUGAACCUGCGGAAGGAUCAUUAACACGUCUCCACGUAUUCAACCACUGUGCACUUCAACGCUCCCUUUGAUCCUGUCAUGCAUUGUGAUAGGAUUGAAGGCAUGCAGAUGUUGGAAGCAAGGAAUGGAGAUAGGAGCGAAAGCACGUAUCAUCCCUUCCUUUGUCUUCCCAUCUGUCUCGACAUACCAUUUCUCCCUGUUCUCAAUUGUUGUCUUGCGUACAUAGCACAGCACAUAAAUCUUUGUAUGUGUAUGUAUAUUUACGCGUUGUGUGAUUGAAUCACAUUAAUUCAAUGUCAUACAACUCUUAGCAAUGGAUAUCUUGGUUCUCGC